GCGAACGCUGGCGGCAGGCUUCACACAUGCAAGUCGAGCGGGCACUUUCGGGUGUCAGCGGCGGACGGGUGAGUAACGCGUGGGAACGUGCCCUCUGGUUCGGAAUAACUCAGGGAAACUUGAGCUAAUACCGGAUACGCCCUUUUGGGGAAAGGCUUGCUGCCGGGGGAUCGGCCCGCGUCUGAUUAGCUAGUUGGUGAGGUAACGGCUCACCAAGGCGACGAUCAGUAGCUGGUCUGAGAGGAUGAUCAGCCACACUGGGACUGAGACACGGCCCAGACUCCUACGGGAGGCAGCAGUGGGGAAUAUUGGACAAUGGGCGCAAGCCUGAUCCAGCCAUGCCGCGUGAGUGAUGAAGGCCUUAGGGUUGUAAAGCUCUUUUAUCCGGGACGAUAAUGACGGUACCGGAGGAAUAAGCCCCGGCUAACUCCGUG
This 434-nucleotide ribosomal RNA is filed under the name uncultured bacterium. RNAcentral describes it as "partial 16S ribosomal RNA". It matches the Rfam family "Bacterial small subunit ribosomal RNA", at positions 29 to 507 of the family's 1533-position model. The record is from RNAcentral.